UGCAGUCGAACGAUGAUGCCCACUUGUGGGUGGAUUAGUGGCGAACGGGUGAGUAACACGUGAGUAACCUGCCCUUAACUCUGGGAUAAGCCUGGGAAACUGGGUCUAAUACCGGAUAUGACUCCUCAUCGCAUGGUGGGGGGUGGAAAGCUUUAUUGUGGUUUUGGAUGGACUCGCGGCCUAUCAGCUUGUUGGUGAGGUAAUGGCUCACCAAGGCGACGACGGGUAGCCGGCCUGAGAGGGUGACCGGCCACACUGGGACUGAGACACGGCCCAGACUCCUACGGGAGGCAGCAGUGGGGAAUAUUGCACAAUGGGCGAAAGCCUGAUGCAGCGACGCCGCGUGAGGGAUGACGGCCUUCGGGUUGUAAACCUCUUUCAGUAGGGAAGAAGCGAAAGUGACGGUACCUGCAGAAGAAGCGCCGGCUAACUACGUGCCAGCAGCCGCGGUAAUACGUAGGGCGCAAGCGUUAUCCGGAAUUAUUGGGCGUAAAGAGCUCGUAGGCGGUUUGUCGCGUCUGCCGUGAAAGUCCGGGGCUCAACUCCGGAUCUGCGGUGGGUACGGGCAGACUAGAGUGAUGUAGGGGAGACUGGAAUUCCUGGUGUAGCGGUGAAAUGCGCAGAUAUCAGGAGGAACACCGAUGGCGAAGGCAGGUCUCUGGGCAUUAACUGACGCUGAGGAGCGAAAGCAUGGGGAGCGAACAGGAUUAGAUACCCUGGUAGUCCAUGCCGUAAACGUUGGGCACUAGGUGUGGGGGACAUUCCACGUUUUCCGCGCCGUAGCUAACGCAUUAAGUGCCCCGCCUGGGGAGUACGGCCGCAAGGCUAAAACUCAAAGGAAUUGACGGGGGGCCCGCACAAGCGGCGGAGCAUGCCGAUUAAUUCAAUGCAACGCGAAAAACCUUACCAAAGGC
Molecule: ribosomal RNA, 914 nt
Filed under: Arthrobacter sp. UA-JF3201
Lineage: Bacteria; Bacillati; Actinomycetota; Actinomycetes; Micrococcales; Micrococcaceae
Description: bacterial SSU rRNA
Rfam family: Bacterial small subunit ribosomal RNA
Source: RNAcentral